Sycon ciliatum is the source of this 1130-nucleotide long non-coding RNA. RefSeq lists it as uncharacterized. The transcript is spliced from 4 exons. Lineage: Eukaryota; Metazoa; Porifera; Calcarea; Leucosolenida; Sycettidae. The record is from RefSeq and is a predicted model, not a curated record.
UCAAUCAUUCUUAACUAACCACUUUCCCCACAGGAACUAAUCUUUCUUUUUCCCACAGGUACUAAUCCUUUUUUCCACAGGUACUAACUUUCUAUUCCCGCAGGUACUAACCUUUCUUUUCCCCACAGGUAUUAACCACUUUUUCUGUUACUCAGGUGGGGCAGGGGUACGGAUAUCUUUCAAUCUGGGGUUUAAGCUCUGAUAAUUCGGUAAGAAUGUGACCUCUGAAACCGUUGUUUGGCGCCGUGUGUGUGUGUGUUCUGGUGUGUGCGUGUUUCCUCUGUGUGAGUCCCAGAUAAUAUGACACUACUCUGGAUCGGCACAGCAUCGCCAGGAUACCUGCAUCGGCACAUGACACAACCAAUGGUUACGCAGCAAGCACUGAGGACCAAUCCAUCACCUUGACAGCGUUGAGCCAUGCAAACAGCAAGUGAUUUGGCAAGGCCACUGCAAUGUCAUUGUGCAGGAUUUCGGUACGUACGUGCAGUGUACACAAUCAUUCAUCUCCUGCGCCCGGAUACAGAGGACAGUCAUCUAUCUCCUUUGGUAUGCACCAACUCCCGAGGCAAUCCUUAUUGAAAUGUCGGAACACAGAACAGUUUCUAUACUCCGUUCAGCUUUCCAUAAUAAUUAUGUACAUGUCACUGAACUCAUUUGGACUCGUGCGGAUUUCCUCCACUUCACACUGCACGCAUCCAAUCUGUGAGAGUAUGUCCAGUGCCCGUCAUUUCUCCGUGGCACAACUGGCGAAGUCUUCAGGACCACUCCUCAAAUUUCAUCCCUGUCCGGCAUUAUACCGUGCAAGUACGUAGAUUCGUCGCACACAACCUCUUUCAUUGGACAGUUGUAUGAGAUAUCAAGAUUUACCGGCACGACAACCUCCCGGGCUCCCCUGAACUGGACGUCCCAAUUUCAGAAUUAUCAGCACCCUCCCAUAUUAUUCUGCUCUCGGCAGCAUUUGCGAUCUCCGCUUUCUGUUGAAAGUGUCACUGUUUCACUAGCUCUACUAUUCAUCAAUCAACCUAAAUAUUGCAAUGUUAUCCAUGUGUAUGUAAUACUCAUGAUGAUACAGUGCCAGUGCCCAUCACUACUACAGCUCCUCGUGCUUGGACCCUUUACGUACACCUUCA